This 253-nucleotide ribosomal RNA is filed under the name uncultured bacterium. RNAcentral's name for it is "partial 16S ribosomal RNA". It matches the Rfam family "Bacterial small subunit ribosomal RNA", at positions 524 to 776 of the family's 1533-position model. The record is from RNAcentral.
UACAGAGACCUCAAGCGUUAUCCGGAUUCAUUGGGCGUAAAGCGUCCGCAGGUGGUUUCUUAAGUUGGGAGUCAAAUCUUUGGGCUUAACCUAAAGACUGCUCACAAUACUGGGAAACUUGAGACUGGGAGAGGUAUACGGAACUGUUGGUGUAGUAGUAAAAUGCGUUGAUAUCAACAGGAACACCAAAGGCGAAAGCAGUAUACUGGAACAGUUCUGACACUCAUGGACGAAAGCGUGGGGAGCGAAUGGG